GUCUACGGCCAUACCACCCUGAACGCGCCCGAUCUCGUCUGAUCUCGGAAGCUAAGCAGGGUCAGGCCUGGUUAGUACUUGGAUGGGAGAAAAAUUACCAAGCAUGUGAAGAAACAGGAAAUGAAUCCA
Molecule: ribosomal RNA, 129 nt
Organism: Panthera pardus (leopard)
Lineage: Eukaryota; Metazoa; Chordata; Mammalia; Carnivora; Felidae
Source: Ensembl